CCGCCCCCUGAAGCUUUGUCUUCUCCGAACCACAUCCCCACCGUGGGCUGAUUCCCCUCAGCCGCUGGACACCAGAAACAACCCCCGCCAGAACUUCUAUCGCCGCCGUCCCUACCCCCUUCAUCUCCUUCACCUCCUAACACCCAUAAAUCAUCACAAUUUAACCCCAAAUCUGCCCGUUUCAGCUUUAUCGUUUUGGUUUAGCUCGAGUGGUCCGGUGAGUUUCGAGUGCGAUUUAGAGUCGAGAAAAACAGAAUAAGAUUUUGAGGGUCCGUUCGAGAUUCCGGCUUGGUCUCCGGUCAGGGAGCUUGAAGAAUUGUUUGUUUGUUGCUGUUCAAAGCUUGAGUUUCAGUCUUGAGCUUCAAACCUUCAUGUGUUCGAUCUUAUCCGAUUUUGUUACUAGGUAUGUAGAUAUUCAUUUGUUCUCUUGCUUUGAGUUCAUGAAUAAAAGUUCUGGUUGUUUGUGCUGUAAUUGUUUAUGAUUUUAUAAAUCUAGCAUCUUAGCCAUAAAAAAAUUGUUUAGAAGUCUGUUUUGUUUAACCUGUGGUACUAUUAACUUUGUUUUAGUUCAUUGUUCAUGUCGCACUCCUAUUCGAUGUUAUAGAUUUAGCCAUUUAGUUAUCAAAUUUAUGUUAAAAUUCUUCUCUGUUUACUCAUGGCAUUAUCGAUCUGUUUUGGAUGAAAUCAGAACUAAAAUGGAAGGCAUGAUUUUUGUUUGGCUAUUAGUUAAAGUGACUGUAAUUAUAAUAAAUCAAGAGAUUUUGGUUAAUAAGGAUUCUGGCCAUUUGAUUUUAGGUAGCAUUUCAAUUUGUUGGCUAGAAGUUAAAGUGUUUCUAGGCUUAAAAUGUUUUAAUGUCUUGUUCUUCUAAUUAGCGACCUUCAUAAAGCUAUGGAACAAAUUACAAAGUCAUCACAUUAAUUUCAAUCAUAUAAGCUAGUAAAGAUUUCAAAGCAGUUGAUUAAACUAAGUCAAGGUAAUGGCCAUCCCAAUUCGUGAUCUUCAAGUGUAAACUUAUUAAUCGACACUUCAUCGGAAUAAUGUUCUUAUCAAGUUGCUUUGAAUCCAUACUUCUUCUUCUUAUAAAGAAAGCGUGAUAAACUUUAUCCAUACUUCUUCUUCAUAACCAAUGACUUUACAUGACUAAGGAACAUGAACAAUUUCGAACAUCGUAUCUUGCUUUAGGCGCGAUUAAUAAAUAAACCAUUGUGAUUAUGGGUACGGUUCCGUGACAUAGUUACGAUGCCUAAUUCCAAAAUUCGGGGUGCAUUUCAUAUAACCCGAUCAUAACAACUUUGAAUAAUAAAACCUGUUAAAAUAAUUUGAGCUCCCUAAACUCGGGUGUGCAUUUCAUGUGACCCAAAUUCAAAUCUCAAUAACGUUAAAUAAAAUAUGUCGCGGACCGCAGGUGCAUUUCAUGUGGCGUGGUUCAAGACGUGUUUUAGAUAACGUUGAAUCUUUCUAAAAUUAAUUAAAAGAGGUUAAAGGUAAAAAUGCACAUAGGUUCAAAAGUGUUUUAAAAUCAGGUAAUUGAGCCGAUUAUAACUGUUGAGCGACCGUGCUAGAACCACGGAACUCGGUAAUGCCUAACACCUUCUUCCGGGUUAACAGAAUUCCUUACCCAGAUUUCUAUGUUCGCAGACUAUAAAACAGAGUCAAUCUUUUCCUCGAUUUGGGAUUUGAACCGGUGACUUGGGACACCAUCAAUUAUCCCAAGUGGUGACUCUGAAUUUUUAAAAUAAAUAAUCUCGUUUCGAUUGUCACUUAAAUUGGAAAAAACUCCCCUUAUACCUUCUUACGGGGGUGUAGGUAAAAAAGGAGGUGUGACAAAUGGCACUUGCUGAUUCUUAUUGAUUGUUCCCUUAAUUGAUUUUUUGUUCAUUUGCCCUUAAUUACCCGCCCCAUACUUAAGUAUUUAAUUUUCUUUCCUUAAUUAUAUGCCCUGCUCUUUAUCAUUAACUGGUCACCCUUUUACUAUAAGAGAACCUUGCUGAUUUUAUGCAUGAUUGAUUAUGUAAUUUUCCCUAACUAUUGAAUGAUUGAUUAUUUACCUUACUUUACUCUGCUCUCAACUACUAUAUAUACUCUCCUCUAUUGUCACUUCCAGACACGAACAAUCAGUUCAAAAUACACACACACCCACACACAUAAAAAUUCUCUCUUCUCUCUCUGCUACUUGUGCUAACUGCUUGUCUAGCCGGUUGAAAGACAAGGCUAGACUGUGGAACUCUACUUUCUUUACUUUCUGCAUUUUGCUUCCUUAACUGGUAUGUUCCUAGUUCAAUUCUGAAACUCAACUCUAUGGCUCCAUGUCUCCUUCUGCAUUAAUUUAAUGUCUUAUAUGUUCAAUUGCCCUUCUUGUUUACUGCUUUAUCUAGCAUGCUUAAGUUUUGCCCUCUCUUGGUCAAGUGUGUAACUAGCAUGUCUACUUGAGUUCUUGUUUAUUUCCCUCAACUAGUAUGUCAUGUUAGUGUCAUAGACUCCUAAUGUACCUGAUUAACACUAAGCAGCAUGACUAAUUAUGUGUAAUAGACCUCUGUCCUCAACAUGACUACUCCCAUACCCUGUCCCUAUGUCUUAUUACUAUUCUAAUUUCGAGCAAUGAUUCCCUUGUUAACACUUUGAAGUAGUAGUUUGUGUUCUGGAGUCCAAUCAGUUCCUACUUGUUCUUUGUGCUUGCUAGUCUAUAUGCUUCUCUUCUCAUCCAUGUUUAUGUGGUUCUGAUUUGAACUUUCUAUGUCCCCAACCCCUUGAUCCUUGUCUCUAAAGCUGUUCGCCUUCACUUAGAAUCAAGUAAUAAAUGGCUCUGAUCAGACUCUAAGUUGUCUUUUGUGAUUAUGUGUUUUCUCAGAGUUGCUUCCACUCUUAGCAUUUUUUAAACUGUGUCUAUUCCUGAAACUUUUCUUUUAAUCCUGAAAGUUCUACUUCAACAUUGUUUUACUAAGUCCUUUUCAAAACUAUGAUAAGCACUCUCACUCUACUCUUAGAUCACUAAGUUCUCCCCCUUUUGUGUGAGCCUUGCCUUGGGACCCUUGAGCUCCCUCUGAACUUGGACACAUGAAAGCUGGCCUUUUCACACUACAAUCUGUCUUGGCUAUGAAAUAUGGAUGUGAGCACUGCCCGGGAUCCCUUGAGGUCCUUAGGGAACUCUGACAUAUCCGGAUAUGAGAAGGGCUAUGAAACAAUCUUGGCACUUGAGGUGAUUUAUUAUAUGACUCAGGGAGGAAGUCCUAAUCAGGCUCUCUAUGGUGUAAUCUCUUAUUUUUCAUUUCUACUUAUGUAAUUCAUUUCAAUGUUGGUCUGUAAUAACCUGUUGUAAACAAGUAUUGGGGCUGGCUAGUGAAAAGGGGAGGGUAGUUAUGUAUGCUAUCAACAUCAAUGGGUAUAAACCAUGUCUUAGGUUUGCAUUUCCUAUGUGUGCAUUAGAAUCCAUGUGUAAUA
RNAcentral lists this long non-coding RNA (3439 nucleotides) under Nicotiana tabacum (common tobacco). Its description in RNAcentral is "long non-coding RNA (NTAB_LNC003899)". Lineage: Eukaryota; Viridiplantae; Streptophyta; Magnoliopsida; Solanales; Solanaceae. The record is from RNAcentral.